GCCCAGGUGGCUCCAUUGGUUGAGCGUCUGACUUCGGCUCAGGUCAUGAUCUCAUGGUUCGUGAGUUCGAGCCCCACAUUGGGCU
This 85-nucleotide transfer RNA is filed under the name Felis catus (domestic cat). It matches the Rfam family "tRNA". Rfam says of the family: Transfer RNA (tRNA) molecules are approximately 80 nucleotides in length. Their secondary structure includes four short double-helical elements and three loops (D, anti-codon, and T loops). The record is from Rfam by way of RNAcentral. Lineage: Eukaryota; Metazoa; Chordata; Mammalia; Carnivora; Felidae.